UACGGGGGGGGCAAGCGUUGUUCGGAAUUACUGGGCGUAAAGGGCUCGUAGGCGGCCAACUAAGUCAGACGUGAAAUCCCUCGGCUUAACCGGGGAACUGCGUCUGAUACUGGAUGGCUUGAGUUUGGGAGAGGGAUGCGGAAUUCCAGGUGUAGCGGUGAAAUGCGUAGAUAUCGGAAGGAACACCGGUGGCGAAAGCGGCGCGCUGGGACGGUACUGACGCUGAGACGCGAAAGCGUGGGGAGCGAACAGG
Molecule: ribosomal RNA, 253 nt
Filed under: uncultured bacterium
Lineage: Bacteria
Description: partial 16S ribosomal RNA
Rfam family: Bacterial small subunit ribosomal RNA
Source: RNAcentral